AUUGAACGCUGGCGGCAGGCCUAACACAUGCAAGUCGAGCGAGCGGCGGACGGGUGAGUAAUGUCUGGGAAACUGCCUGAUGGAGGGGGAUAACUACUGGAAACGGUAGCUAAUACCGCAUACCAUCAGAUGUGCCCAGAUGGGAUUAGCUAGUAGGUGGGGUAACGGCUCACCUAGGCGACGAUCCCUGGCUGGUCUGAGUGGAUGACCAGCAACAUGGGAACGGGGACACGGCCAAGACUCCUACGGGGGGCGGCAGUGGGGAAUAUUGCACAAUGGGCGCAAGCCUGAUGAAGCCAUGCGGCGUGGUGGAAGAAGGUUUUCGGGGUGUAAAGCACUUUCUGCGGGGAGGCGGUACCCGCAGAAGAAGCAACGGCUAACUCCGUGCCAGCAGCCGCGGUAAUUC
This 406-nucleotide ribosomal RNA is filed under the name uncultured bacterium. RNAcentral describes it as "partial 16S ribosomal RNA". It matches the Rfam family "Bacterial small subunit ribosomal RNA", at positions 29 to 526 of the family's 1533-position model. The record is from RNAcentral.